This 189-nucleotide small nuclear RNA is filed under the name Heterocephalus glaber (naked mole-rat). Its description in RNAcentral is "U2 spliceosomal RNA (ENSHGLG00100033694.1)". The record is from RNAcentral. Lineage: Eukaryota; Metazoa; Chordata; Mammalia; Rodentia; Bathyergidae.
AUUGCUUCUCAGCCUUUUGGCUAAGAUCAAGUGUAAUAAUUAUUAGUUUAUGUUCUCUUUUCUACCCAAAGAAUAUAUGGUGUAUUUAGUUGUCAUUGUGUAUUUUGUAACUUUUUUUUUUUUUCUUUUGGUACCAGGGAUCAAACUCGGGUCCUUCUGCCUGUGCAGCAGGCAGCAGAACCACUGAGC